AAAGACAGAAACCGGUGGUUAAAAAUUAUCUGUCAGGAUUCAGGUGAAAUAUACCUGUGGCAAGAGAGAUGUUAUCUGACUGACCCUCUCUUGCUCCCGUAGUU
Molecule: non-coding RNA, 104 nt
Filed under: unclassified sequences
Also listed under: 1 other name
Description: Methylobacterium-1 RNA
Rfam family: Methylobacterium-1 RNA
Source: RNAcentral